Molecule: non-coding RNA, 31 nt
Filed under: Mus musculus (house mouse)
Lineage: Eukaryota; Metazoa; Chordata; Mammalia; Rodentia; Muridae
Source: RNAcentral
UUCCAGAGUAGGCCGUGGAAGAACUGUUCCU